Molecule: ribosomal RNA, 119 nt
Filed under: Pteropus alecto (black flying fox)
Lineage: Eukaryota; Metazoa; Chordata; Mammalia; Chiroptera; Pteropodidae
Source: RNAcentral
GUCUAUGGCCGUGCUACUCUGAACAAGCCCGAUCCCGUCUGAUCUCGGAAGCUAAGCAGGGUCGGGCCUGGUUAGUACUUGGAUGGGAGACCACCUAGGAAGACCAGGUGCUGUAGGCA